RNAcentral lists this ribosomal RNA (112 nucleotides) under Periophthalmus magnuspinnatus. The record is from RNAcentral. Lineage: Eukaryota; Metazoa; Chordata; Actinopteri; Gobiiformes; Gobiidae.
UGGGAAUUUUCAAGGUCGUAUUCCAAUCUCGUCUGAUCUUGGAUGAUAAACAGGGCUGGGGCUGGUUAGUACUUGGAUGGGAGACCACUUGGAAUCCUGCUCUGAAUCCCAC